ACAGUCUUUCAGGAUGUCUGAAAGGGGCAAGUCUGUUUGUGUGGGGUAAGAAAUGCGGGGAGACAAACGGACAGUGGACAGAUUGCAGAGAGCUCUGUGUGCUGAGAGGAGGGUGCAGACCAGAUUUUUAAAUUGAGAAUGCAACAGUGAAGGAUUUCAAGCUUGGAGUGAGAGGGGAGACUACGAGCCUGCAGUGAUAAGGCAAAGCUGAAGAUUUCAGAGCCAAGGCCACACCCUACAGUUGCCAUGGAAUGGGGUGGCACAGUGGGCUUUGGAGGUAAAGUCUGCAGUUGAGAAGUUCAAGGGUAGUAAGUACUUAAUGCCAGGUCAAUCAUCCCUUUUAAGACACAGAUAUCAUCUGCAGCGUUUUCAGGAACAGCGAUAGAGAAGAAAAGCGGGCAGCUACUAGAUAUUCAAAUCUUCCACAAAUGUCAGGGAGAGAGUCAGGCAGUUGGUAGAAGAGACCUGUAAAGCUGGGUACCAUAAGCCUCAACACAGGUGUUUUUAUUUCAAGGCUGGGGAGCUGUGCUUUGGAAAAGCAAUGAGGAGGUAACAGGAAGUCUCUUCUCCUUCUAAAUCCUGUGUUCAUGGAGGAGGGUGGGUUUUCUCCUCUUGAGAGGGAGUUACAUACAAGUUUAAGGGAAAAGAGUCUGAAGUUUCCACCUAAAUGAUUCUGAAAGAAUCAGGUUAAGAAGCAAAUCUGUUCCGAUGUGAUGCCAACUAAGUACAUGAUCUGAUUGUUCCAGUUAUCCUGUGCCAAAAAGAAGCAAAAAAUGGGCUUUCCACGGAUUAUUGAACACGGUGUCAGUGUGCCUGAGAAACAAGCCUCUAUUAAAAGCUUUCUAGGCAA
This 850-nucleotide long non-coding RNA is filed under the name Homo sapiens (human). RNAcentral's name for it is "long intergenic non-protein coding RNA 2217". Lineage: Eukaryota; Metazoa; Chordata; Mammalia; Primates; Hominidae. The record is from RNAcentral.